This 468-nucleotide ribosomal RNA is filed under the name uncultured bacterium. Its description in RNAcentral is "partial 16S ribosomal RNA". It matches the Rfam family "Bacterial small subunit ribosomal RNA", at positions 28 to 507 of the family's 1533-position model. The record is from RNAcentral.
GACGAACGCUGGCGGCGUGCUUAACGCGUGCAAGUCGAACGGAAAGGCCCUGCUUUUGUGGGGUGCUCGAGUGGCGAACGGGUGAGUAACACGUGAGUAACCUGCCCUUGACUUUGGGAUAACUUCAGGAAACUGGGGCUAAUACCGGAUAGGAGCUCCUGCUGCAUGGUGGGGGUUGGAAAGUUUCGGCGGUUGGGGAUGGACUCGCGGCUUAUCAGCUUGUUGGUGGGGUAGUGGCUUACCAAGGCUUUGACGGGUAGCCGGCCUGAGAGGGUGACCGGCCACAUUGGGACUGAGAUACGGCCCAGACUCCUACGGGAGGCAGCAGUGGGGAAUAUUGCACAAUGGGCGGAAGCCUGAUGCAGCAACGCCGCGUGCGGGAUGACGGCCUUCGGGUUGUAAACCGCUUUCGCCUGUGACGAAGCGUGAGUGACGGUAAUGGGUAAAGAAGCACCGGCUAACUACGUG